RNAcentral lists this ribosomal RNA (406 nucleotides) under uncultured bacterium. RNAcentral describes it as "partial 16S ribosomal RNA". It matches the Rfam family "Bacterial small subunit ribosomal RNA", at positions 30 to 526 of the family's 1533-position model. The record is from RNAcentral.
AUUGAACGCUGGCGGCAGGCCUAACACAUGCAAGUCGAACGAGUGGCGGACGGGUGAGUAAUGUCUGGGAAACUGCCUGAUGGAGGGGGAUAACUACUGGAAACGGUAGCUAAUACCGCAUACCAUCGGAUGUGCCCAGAUGGGAUUAGCUAGUAGGUGGGGUAAAGGCUCACCUAGGCGACGAUCCCUAGCUGGUCUGAGAGGAUGACCAGCCACACUGGAACUGAGACACAGUCCAGACGCCUACGGGAGGCAGCAGUGGGGAAGAUUGAACAAUGGGCGCAAGCCUGAUGCAGCCAUGCCGCGUGUAUGAAGAAGGCAUUCGGUUUGUAAAGUACUUUCAGCGAGGAGGCGUUACUCGCAGAAGAAGCACCGGCUAACUCCGUGCCAGCAGCCGCGGUAAUUC